Long non-coding RNA from Amblyraja radiata (thorny skate), 2696 nucleotides. RefSeq lists it as uncharacterized. The transcript has 2 exons. NCBI's taxonomy places the organism in Eukaryota, Metazoa, Chordata, Chondrichthyes, Rajiformes, Rajidae. The record is from RefSeq and is a predicted model, not a curated record.
UCUACUGAGGUACAGUGAAAAGCUUUGUUUUUGCAUGUUAUCAGAUAUACCAUUCAUUUAGAUGCUAUCAGUUCAAACACAUUCAAUAGAUAGAGCAAUGGGGAAGAUACAGUGUGCAUAAUAUAGCUCUUGGCAUUGCAGAGCAUCAGUUCCACAGACAAAUCCCACAGGUAUGUCGUCAAUGGGGAAGAGGUGAAUCAGACAGUAUCCUAGCUUAUGGAAGGGCCGUUCAGAAGACUGAUAAUAGAGGGGAAAAAGCUGUUCCAGAGUCUGGUGAUGUGUGCGUUCAAGCUUCUGUACCUUUUGCCAGACGGGAACGAGGAGAAGAAGGACUAACUGGGGUGGGACGUCUUUGAUGAUGUUGGCUGCUUUCUCGAGGCAGCUCGAAUUAAUCAAACAGCACUAAGUUAUCAUACUUAUAGAAAAGGUACAUAUUGUAAAUGAACUAUUUCUAAAAUUACAUUUUAAACUCCUACUUGAUUGUUCUGCUCAGUGAUAGAUUUUGUGCAUGGUGAUAUGGAAACAAGUUUGAACAGAGAUGUGAGCUGAGUGUACUUUCUGCCUCCAUUAUCCAGUACAAUAGAGUAAAGGGGGAGAUACAGAGUGCAGAAUAUGGUGCUCACCUGUGCAGAGGAUCAGCUCCAUAGACAAAGUCCAAUGCCCUCAAUGGGGUAGAGAUGAAUGGAUACCCUAGCUUAUGGAACGGCCGUUAGUUCAGCCCCUGCAUCACCAGGAAGUUACUUUGCCAACAGUUACAUUUGCUCACAUUUCCUCAUUUUGAGUUGGGCAGGACUGGAGAGAAUUACCGUUAAUUAAUUCUCUCAAUUUGUGGUUCUCAAACCGCUUUGAGUGGCCAGUUUAUUACUGGAUUGGCCCUGGGUUUAUGAAGACGGGGGUCAGAUACAGUUAAAUUGAAGUGGAAAGUCAUGACUUAGUCCACCCCCCCUGCAUGUUACUUGAAAACAUACUGUGCUUUGAGAAACUAUUGUAUUAAGAAAGAGUUUCUUUCCUGAGUGACAGUGAUCAAGCAGUGAGAUUUAAUUAGCAAGACCAAGCGAAGACUAGGCGACCAUAUUUUGCCUUAACGUUUGCGUUUUGUCCGCCAUUUAACUCCCCUUCUCAUUCCCAUGCUGACAUUUCUGUCCUUGAUUCCCUUCAUUGCCCGAGUGAGGCCACAUACAAACGUGAGGUACAGCACCUCAUAUUCCGCUUACAACGGUAUGAACGUUGAAUUUAUCAAGUAAUACCCCUCUCUUUUCCGUCCCCCUUCCAUCCCAGUGUGCGCCCAGCCCCCUUGCUCCUUUCCCAUCCUCCAUACACUCAUCUCCCACCCCUCUGUUACUUACUUCACACCAUCUCCUAAUCAACCCCCCUCACCCAUACUGUCCCGCUGAGUUAAUCCAGCAUUUUGUUUCUACCCCUCUCACCUAUAUCCAUCCACGCUUUGCCCACCCCAAACUCUCCCAGCUUUCUACCAGUAGUUUGAUGAAGGAUCCCGAUCCGAAAUGCCAUCUGUGUAUUCCCCCCCCCCCCCCCCCCCCCGUAAAUGCUGCCCGAUAUACUGAGUUCCUCCAGCAGUUUGCGGUUUGCUCAAGAUUUGAGCACAUGCAGUUCCGUGUGUCUUUCCAUUUUAUCUACAUUUAGUUAAUGUAAGUUAGGAACAUCGUGAGAUAUUGUGUCGGUGGUUUACACAUGUCAUGUUUGGUUGUAGCUAACACUUUGCGGAACAUGUCCGCUUAUAGAGAGAUUAUUGUACAUAGGAUAAAAAAAUAUACUAUUGAAAUCAUGACUGAAGAUCUAAAUCUGGAGAAGCUAAAAAUGGUGUCUUGCAAUUAUUAAUAAGGGACAAUGCAGCAUUUGGGCAACUAACCAGAAAUGUUCAUUCCUAAAACUUGGAGUCACUGAAACCACCUUCCCAUUCCCAUUCCAAACUCUUAUCUGGGCAGAUGCUGGUUUACACCGAAGAUAGACACAAAUUGCUGGAGUAACUUAGGGAGGCAGGGUCUUGAGCCGAAAUGUCGGCCAUUCCUUUUAUCCAGAGACGCUGCCUGCCCGCUGAGUUACUCCAGCAUUUUUUUGUCUUUUCCUUUUCUCCCCUACGUAGUUAACAGAAAAUGCGGGAAGUGACAGCAAAUGGACACAUUGUUUAUCAGACCCACAUGACUUAGAAACUGAUCUGAAAGAAGGUAAGACUACUCAGCAGAUGGCCCAAGUAGUCAUGGGCCACAUCUGCAGCCAACACUGUGAUCAAAACAUAUUGUGGCGUGCAAAUUACAACUGUUCCCAUUGUCACCGCUCUCCACAUCCUUUCCACAUCCACUCUAUCUAUGCCUUUCAUUAUUCUGUAAGUUUCAAUUAAGUCCCUCCUCAACUUUCUAAACUCCAGCGAGUAGAUGACGCAAGAUCAUCUGGUGACACUGUAGAAAGCCUGCAGCCUGCCAGGUUAAUUCCAUAAAUCUCUUCUACUUAGGGAAAUAAACUGCUAGUGCCUUAGGCAGCUGGGUUAGGCAAUUGCUGCCUUCAGUGGGGAUGUGGAUCUAGAAAUUCCUCAUUGAUUUGAAAAGUGCAUUCAACUAAACUUAUCGCAGUACACCACAGAAACAGGCCCUUUCUGCCCACUUCAUCCAUGCCGACCACAAUGCCUAUCUGUGGCAAGACUAUUUGCCAUUUUAGGCCCAUAAUCCUCAAUACCUUUU